Pelobates cultripes (western spadefoot toad) is the source of this 288-nucleotide non-coding RNA. The record is from the annotation of a GenBank genome assembly. Lineage: Eukaryota; Metazoa; Chordata; Amphibia; Anura; Pelobatidae.
CCUACCUCUGUCAAAUUGGCCGGAAGGCCUAACUGGAUCCACGCUUCCCAUUGCAAGAAGACACCUGCCCCAGAGGAAGCUAACUCUAUGCAACCAUGUGACUCUGGUACAUUAUCUCCUUAGUUGGCCUCCUUAAAGCCCAGCAGGUGGCCAUCACCAAAGAUGCUAGUGGGUACACUUUCUGGUAUAAUUCAUCAUGUACCCAUGUGGCUACAUUCACUUUUGAUUACUGUGAUAUUGUAGAGUGCCCAUUCCCUAAGUCACAGAUUCAAGCUAUUUAUAAAGAUA